ACAUAUAUCAUUUACUAGAUUUUCACUCUCAAAACCCUAAAUCUCAAUCUAAAGAAACUAAGCAUAAGUCGCAAGCAUUCCGGUCAAGCUUCGCCGGAGUCGAUCGAACUCCAGUUCAAGGUUUGCAGCAAUUGAAUGCAAAAAGUCUCAUAAGGUUUUGCUCAGUUGAUGCAAAAGUCUUUUCGCCUUUGUUGAAUUGUUAGCAGUAACUUGGAAACAAUGGGUGCUUGGACCAGUCAAAUUGAGUAAAGAAAAGUUGCUAAGGUUGGAGACUAAUCAUUGAAAAAAAAUCAUGUUAUCAGUUAUUUACCGUUAACAGUAAUAUAUCACUCUGUUUAUAUUUAUUUUAUUUAUAAACUUAUAAUUAAUGUAAAUCAAAAUUUUCUACCCGGGAAGUUCCCGGGUGAUAACCUAGUUCAAUUUAUAAACACUAA
Helianthus annuus (common sunflower) is the source of this 434-nucleotide long non-coding RNA. RefSeq lists it as uncharacterized. The transcript has 4 exons. Lineage: Eukaryota; Viridiplantae; Streptophyta; Magnoliopsida; Asterales; Asteraceae. The record is from RefSeq and is a predicted model, not a curated record.